UACGGAGGGUGCAAGCGUUAUCCGGAUUCACUGAGCUUAAAGGGUGCGUAGGCGGGUAAGUAAGUCCGUGGUGAAAUCUCUGAGCUUAACUCAGAAACUGCCGUGGAUACUAUUUGCCUUGAAUAUUGUGGAGGUGAGCGGAAUAUGUCAUGUAGCGGUGAAAUGCGUAGAUAUUGGGAGGAACACCAGUGGCGAAGGCGGCUCACUGGACCGGUACUGACGCUGAUGCGCGAAAGCGUGGGGAGCAAACGGG
Molecule: ribosomal RNA, 253 nt
Filed under: uncultured bacterium
Lineage: Bacteria
Description: partial 16S ribosomal RNA
Rfam family: Bacterial small subunit ribosomal RNA
Source: RNAcentral